RNAcentral lists this ribosomal RNA (253 nucleotides) under uncultured bacterium. RNAcentral describes it as "partial 16S ribosomal RNA". It matches the Rfam family "Bacterial small subunit ribosomal RNA", at positions 524 to 776 of the family's 1533-position model. The record is from RNAcentral.
CACGUAGGGCGCAAGCGUUGUCCGGAAUUAUUGGGCGUAAAGAGCUCGUAGGCGGUCUGUUGCGUCUGCUGUGAAAACCCGGGGCUUAACCCCUGGCUUGCAGUGGAUACGGACAGACUAGAGGUAGGUAGGGGAGAAUGGAAUUCCCGGUGUAGCGGUGAAAUGCGCAGAUAUCGGGAGGAACACCGGUGGCGAAGGCGGUUCUCUGGGCCUUACCUGACGCUCAGGUGCGAAAGCUAGGGGAGCGAACAGG